Molecule: ribosomal RNA, 468 nt
Filed under: uncultured bacterium
Lineage: Bacteria
Description: partial 16S ribosomal RNA
Rfam family: Bacterial small subunit ribosomal RNA (bases 58-468)
Source: RNAcentral
GGGGGGGGGGGGGGGGGGGGGGGGGGCGGGCGGGGCGAGGGGGGGGGCGGGGCGGGGGUGGGGGGGUCGGGUGGCGGGCGGGGGAGUAGCGCGUGAGGGACCCGCCCGCGGCUGGGGGGGAAGUUCAGGAGACGGGGGCGCAUAGCGCAUCGGAGCUCCUGCUGCCUGGUGGUCGGGGGCACGCGUCGGCGGUGGGGGAUGGACUCGCGGCUUACCAGCUUGAUGGUGGGGUAGUGGCUUACCAAGGCUUUGACGGGUAGCCGGCCUGGGAGGGUGACCGGCCACAUGGGGACUGAGAUACGGCCCAGACUCCUACGGGAGGCAGCAGUGGGGAAUAUUGCACAAUGGGCGGAAGCCUGAUGCAGCAACGCCGCGUGCGGGAUGACGGCCUUCGGGUUGUAAACCGCUUUCGCCUGUGACGAAGCGUGAGUGACGGUAAUGGGUAAAGAAGCACCGGCUAACUACGUG